Molecule: ribosomal RNA, 253 nt
Filed under: uncultured bacterium
Lineage: Bacteria
Description: partial 16S ribosomal RNA
Rfam family: Bacterial small subunit ribosomal RNA
Source: RNAcentral
UACGGAGGGUGCGAGCGUUGUCCGGAAUCACUGGGCUUAAAGGGCGCGUAGGCGGCGCGAGUAGUCAACGGUGAAAGCCCGGGGCUCAACCCCGGGUCGGCCGUCGAUACUCUCGUGCUUGAGCACUGUAGAGGCAGGUGGAAUUCCGGGUGUAGCGGUGGAAUGCGUAGAGAUCCGGAAGAACACCGGUGGCGAAGGCGGCCUGCUGGGCAGUAGCUGACGCUGAGGCGCGACAGCGUGGGGAGCAAACAGG